This 512-nucleotide ribosomal RNA is filed under the name uncultured bacterium. Its description in RNAcentral is "partial 16S ribosomal RNA". It matches the Rfam family "Bacterial small subunit ribosomal RNA", at positions 28 to 507 of the family's 1533-position model. The record is from RNAcentral.
GAUGAACGCUGGCGGCGUGCCUAAUGCAUGCAAGUCGAACGAAACUUCUUUAUCACCGAGUGCUUGCACUCACCGAUAAAGAGUUGAGUGGCGAACGGGUGAGUAACACGUGGGCAACCUGCCCAAAAGAGGGGGAUAACACUUGGAAACAGGUGCUAAUACCGCAUAACCAUAGUUACCGCAUGGUAACUAUGUAAAAGGUGGCUAAACUACCGCUUUUGGAUGGGCCAGCGGCGCAUUAGCUAGUUGGUAGGGUAAAGGCUUACCAAGGCAAUGAUGCGUAGCCGAAUUGAGAGGUUGAUCGGCCACAUUGGGACUGAGACACGGCCCAAACUCCUACGGGAGGCAGCAGUAGGGAAUCUUCCACAAUGGGCGAAAGCCUGAUGGAGCAACGCCGCGUGGGUGAAGAAGGUCUUCGGAUCGUAAAACCCUGUUGUUAGGGAAGAAAGUGCGUGAGAGUAACUGUUCACGUUUCGACGGUAUCUAACCAGAAAGCCACUGCUAACUACGUG